UUCAAUAUAAUAGGGGUCUAUCAAUGCAAGUUAGCUAAAAUACUGUGAUUGAUGAGUGGAGAGGUGGCUUAGGUGCAUCUCUGGUGGAAUGUUUAGGCAUGUUUGAGUUCUUGGUGCAGCAUUCUUACAUUUUUUGAAUACCCUUGUUGGAAUUUCGACUUUCGGAUGCGCCUCUACAAUUGAGAUUUAUUAGAGUGCAAUUCCUAAAAGUUGAACCAGUCAAA
This 224-nucleotide long non-coding RNA is filed under the name Capsicum annuum. Its description in RNAcentral is "long non-coding RNA (CANN_LNC004400)". Lineage: Eukaryota; Viridiplantae; Streptophyta; Magnoliopsida; Solanales; Solanaceae. The record is from RNAcentral.